Molecule: long non-coding RNA, 348 nt
Organism: Drosophila kikkawai
Lineage: Eukaryota; Metazoa; Arthropoda; Insecta; Diptera; Drosophilidae
Source: RefSeq, a predicted model, not a curated record
AAAACCAAAAUAUUCAAAUUGUAGAAUAUAUUGAUAAAAAUCUAAAAAGAAUCCCCAUUUAUAAAACCAUAUGGAAUAAUAAUUACCAAAUUUAAAAAGAGUAAUACAAAAUCCUAACAAAAAGUUUGCUGCAAUGAAAUUCUAGAAAUUUAUCUCCCUUUUCGGCCACUUCAAAGUCGGAUCAUUGCCAGGCAACCGAAGGGAAAAAUGCCUGCCUGCCGACCUCCUCAGAAAUUUUCGGACAACUUCAUGACGCUAAAUUAACUAGCAGACAUUUCUAUUAGCUCUGCGGAAUGAAUACCAAGGCAAUUUACGCUUAAUAUAUGCAUGAUGCUGUCCGCUUGAUAA